UCUCAGUUCGGAUCGGAGUCUGCAACCCGACUCCGUGAAGCUGGAUUCGCUAGUAAUCGCGCAUCAGCCAUGGCGCGGUGAAUACGUUCCCGGGCCUUGUACACACCGCCCGUCAAGCCAUGGGAGCCGGGGGUGCUUGAAGUGCGUCGCCGCAAGGCGCGCCCUAGAGCAAAACCGGUGACUGGGGCUAAGUCGUAACAAGGUAAC
This 207-nucleotide ribosomal RNA is filed under the name uncultured bacterium. RNAcentral describes it as "partial 16S ribosomal RNA". It matches the Rfam family "Bacterial small subunit ribosomal RNA", at positions 1286 to 1500 of the family's 1533-position model. The record is from RNAcentral.